This 253-nucleotide ribosomal RNA is filed under the name uncultured bacterium. RNAcentral describes it as "partial 16S ribosomal RNA". It matches the Rfam family "Bacterial small subunit ribosomal RNA", at positions 524 to 776 of the family's 1533-position model. The record is from RNAcentral.
UACGUAGGGACCGAGCGUUGUCCGGAUUCAUUGGGCGUAAAGAGCUCGUAGGCGGCUGUUCAAGUCGAACGUGAAAACUCGGAGCUCAACUCCGAGCCUGCGUUCGAUACUGGACGGCUAGAGUCUGGUAGGGGGAUCUGGAAUUCCUGGUGUAGCGGUGGAAUGCGCAGAUAUCAGGAGGAACACCGGUGGAGAAGGCGGGAUCGUGGGCCAGGACGGACGCUGAGGAGCGAAAGCGGGGGGAGCAAACAGG